GAUGAACGUUGGCGGUGCGCCUAAUACAUGCAAGUCGAACGGAGACUGUAGCAAUACUGUCUUAGUGGCGAACGGGUGAGUAACGCGUUGGUGAUCUGCCUCGAAGUGUGGAAUAACGUUCCGAAAGGAGCACUAAUACCGCAUGGUCUUCUGGUUUUUAGAACGCCAGAUGUAAAGGAUUUAUUCGCUUCGAGAGGAGCCUGCGUCCCAUCAGCUAGUUGGUAAGGUAAUGGCUUACCAAGGCGAUGACGGGUAGGGGACCUGAGAGGGUGGCCCCCACAAUGGAACUGAAACACGGUCCAUACACCUACGGGUGGCAGCAGUAGGGAAUAUUAGUAAUGGGCGAAAGCCUGAACUAGCGACACCGCGUGUGCGAAGAAGGCCUUCGGGUUGUAAAGCACUUUUAGAGAGGAUGAGGAAGGACGGUACUCUCUGAAUAAGUCUCGGCUAACUACGUG
This 458-nucleotide ribosomal RNA is filed under the name uncultured bacterium. Its description in RNAcentral is "bacterial SSU rRNA". It matches the Rfam family "Bacterial small subunit ribosomal RNA", at positions 28 to 507 of the family's 1533-position model. The record is from RNAcentral.